AGCCUAGGAGAUACACCUGUACCCAUGCCGAACACAGCAGUUAAGCCCUAGAACGCCUGAAGUAGUUGGGGGUUGCCCCCUGUUAGAUACGGUAGUCGCUUAGCA
This 105-nucleotide ribosomal RNA is filed under the name Streptococcus suis. The record is from RNAcentral. Lineage: Bacteria; Bacillati; Bacillota; Bacilli; Lactobacillales; Streptococcaceae.